UUUGGUUCUACCACUUUUUGCUGGCAACGAAUUUUUUGUGUUGGUGUGUUCUCUCGGGGAAAUGGAGACUGGAAAUAGUAAUAAGCACACUGCAGCUCUGGGGAUAAGGAAAGGAAAUAAAGAUCUACGGAAGGGGCUGGCACAGCCUGGUACACUGCCAGUGUGCAAUAGUUUAGCUUCGAUUCUUUCCUUCGCCCUUCCUCCAAAGUAAUUGUGCUUGAUGACCUUAGCUGUGACGUCUUUAGGAGUAGAGGGGUAGAGUUUGUGGUGUGGCAGUCACUUGGGAGCAGACAGAAAACCUUUUUGGAGAACUUGAGGUAAACUUGCUAUACUACUGACACAAACGGUUUCUUUUUGUUUGCUUUUGUUUUGUUUUCUGAGACAGUCUUCCUACGCAGUCCAGGUUGGUCUUAAACCUGAUAUCACUAUACAGCUCAAAGAUGGCCUCAAACUUGCCAUCCUCCUGCCUCAGCCUCUGAGUGCUGGAAUGAUCACAUGCAGCUGUCCCCACACCUGGCUGCCAGGAAUAUCUUUUGAAUGGCCGCAUUGGCCCAUUUUGCCCUCUGGUGAUAACUCUUAUUGCUUGAGGAGUCAGACAAAGAUGUCUUAAGGCUAGAGAGACUGAGCCUGUUCAGAUAUAUUGCCUAAAGGAAUGAUUUGAGAAACAGAAACUGGAGCUUAAUUCCACCUCUUAUUCUUAAGAAAUUCAAGCAAGCCUGCGUGUAUAUGGAGGAAUAUGACUAUGGAUCUUUUCCCUUUAUCUAAGAUGAAUCCUCGAAUUGAAACACCACAAACCAAAUGCUUUGGCAGCCAAAUACGCUCCCCGAUCACAGCUUCCUACGUGACACCCAGAUCGCGAUGGGAAUCGAGUCUCCUUGUGCCGCUGUUAGUCCAUCCGUGCCAUCGUCAGUGCCCAUUAAUCACGCAGCGAACUUGUGAUGACUCACAGAGAACCGGAAAAAUAAAUGUAGCCUCUCCUUGUGUGAACGCUAAUAAUCAAACCGCGCAAUAAAGGAAUGCAGAAGGAUGAGCGUGCAAUCUGGCGUCAGGACUUCUGAUUUAUGGCCGCGGCCCUGGGCUCCCAAACACCUCACCACCUGCCUGCACAUCCACGCGGCUGAAGACAAGCGAUAACGGAUUGGAGGCGGAAGCGCCUUUGGAGAACAGCGCCGUGACAGAUAGGCAGCUCUGGGCGUCGCAUCGCACGGUGAUCGUCUGGGCUGCCUCAGACUCUGUGAGUCUGCAGGGAACUGCCAUUUGGAAUACCGUCCUUUGAACGGAAGGUUAGUUUGAUUUUUCUCACUUGAUUUCAGUGA
RNAcentral lists this long non-coding RNA (1316 nucleotides) under Chinchilla lanigera (long-tailed chinchilla). RNAcentral's name for it is "lncRNA (ENSCLAG00000026730.1)". The record is from RNAcentral. Lineage: Eukaryota; Metazoa; Chordata; Mammalia; Rodentia; Chinchillidae.